RNAcentral lists this ribosomal RNA (423 nucleotides) under Triticum aestivum (bread wheat). Its description in RNAcentral is "partial small subunit ribosomal RNA". Lineage: Eukaryota; Viridiplantae; Streptophyta; Magnoliopsida; Poales; Poaceae. The record is from RNAcentral.
AUGGCCAAAACUAUCAUCAAAUUGGCACAUUGCUACCUAAAGAUAAUGGACAUAAUGAUCUUAGGCCAAAGUUUGCUCAAUUGUACAUUUAUGAUACAGAAAACAAGGUCAGAAACAGAAUGCAGGCUUCAACCUCAAAGGAAAGGAAAACACAACUUGAUGAACGCAUUGUGUCUGGAUUAUUGCAGAUGCUUUGAUGAUCACAAUGAGUUAGUGAAAUCAUUCCGUAUGGCAAGGGAUAGAUACCAAGAGUCGGAUCUCGAAAAUGUUAUGUUGCGAUUAUUUGGUACAAGAUCCAGUGAUGGAAGACAAUACAACCUACCAACUGCAUCUGAAAUAGCUGCACUCGCUGUUGAGGAACAGACAGGAGAAAAUGUUGAACGUGAUAUAAUAGUAGAAAACAAAGACAAACAACUCCAGUGA